CUUAGAAAUUCCUAAGGCUCAAUGUUGUGUGGAAGAUUCUGAGAAAGAAAGUAGUUUCCGAUCUUUGGGAUUCCCCUGAGAUGGUCCAAUCUGCAAAAAGUUCAUUGCCAUUUCCAUCAAGGACACUGAGAACAAGAGUCUUAUCUGGAUUGGAUCCUGGGAAUUCAGAAGCUUCAGCAGCUUGUAGACGCUACUAGAAUUCCUCAACUUGUGGCUGCAUGAUCCAAUCUCUGCCUCUGUGAUCACCUUGCCUCCUCCUCUUCUGUCUGGGUCUCCUCCUCUGGAGAAAGAGUGUCAGGCCUCUGAGCCUAAGCUAAGCCAUCAUAUCCCCUGUGACCUUCAUGUACACAUCCAGAUGGCUGGUUCCUGCCUUACCUGAUGACAUUAUCUUGUGAAAUUCCUUCUCCUUGCUCAUCUCCUUGCUCUCCUCGCUCAAAAGCCCCCCUACUGAGCACCUUGUGACCCCCACUCCUGCCUGCCAGAGAACAACCUCCCUUUUUCGUUUACCUACCCAAAUCUUAUAAAAUGUCCCCACUCCUAUCUCCCUUCACUGACUAUCUUUUUGGACUCAGCCCACCUGCACCCAGGUGAAAUAAACAGCUUUAUUGCUCACACAAAGCCUGUUUGGUGGUCUCUUCACAAGGAUGCAUGUGAAAUUUGGUGCCGUGACUCAGAUCAGGGGACCUCCCUUGGGAGAUCAAUCCCCUCUCCUCCUGCUCUUUGCUCUAUGAGAAAGAUCCACCUACGACCUCAGGUCCUCAGACUGACCAGCCCAAGAAACAUCUCACCAAUUUCAAAUCUGGUAAGUGGCUUCUUUUUACUCUCUUCUCCAACCUCCCUCACUAUCCCUCAACCUAUUUCUCCUCCCUCACUAUCCCUCAACCUCUUUCUCCUUUCAAUCUUGGCACCACACUUCAAUCUCUUCCUUCUCUUAAUUUCAAUUCCUUUCAUUUUCUGGUAGAGACGAAGGGGACACGUUUUAUCCAUGGACCCAAAACUCUGGCACUGCUCACAGACUAGGGAAGGCAGCCUUCCCUUGGUGUUUAAUCAUUGCAGGGACGCCUCUCUGAUUAUUCACCCAGGUUUCAGAGGUGUCAGACCAUGCAGGGAUGCCUGCCUUGGUCCUUCACCCUUAACAGCAAGUCCUGCUUUUCUGGGGGAGAAGCAAGAACCCCUCAACCCCUUCUCCUUCACCCUUAGCAGCAAGUCCCACUUUUCUGGGGGAGGGGCAGGAACCCUGACCUCUUAUCUCUGCACCCCAAUCCCUUAUUUCCAUGCCCUGACCUCUUAUCUCUGUGCCCUGAUCCCUUAUUUGCAUGCCCUGCCCUCUCAUCUUUGUGCCCCGAUCCCUUAUUUCCACAACCUGACCUCUUAUCUCUGCACCCCAACCCUUUAUUUCUGUGCCCUGA
RNAcentral lists this long non-coding RNA (1409 nucleotides) under Pan troglodytes (chimpanzee). Its description in RNAcentral is "long non-coding RNA NONPTRT017321". Lineage: Eukaryota; Metazoa; Chordata; Mammalia; Primates; Hominidae. The record is from RNAcentral.